Long non-coding RNA from Solea solea (common sole), 483 nucleotides. RefSeq lists it as uncharacterized. Lineage: Eukaryota; Metazoa; Chordata; Actinopteri; Pleuronectiformes; Soleidae. The record is from RefSeq and is a predicted model, not a curated record. The transcript is spliced from 5 exons.
CACACACUAGUGAGAGUAAAUGGCAGAGGAGAGACUGAUACAGGAGCAGGAGCAGUUCUGCACGACUCUUGUCCGCUUUAGUCACUGCUGUGAACACACAGCAGCGUGAUAUUGAUGGAAAAGUAUUAGGAGAAAAGAAUCUCAAAUACCUGCAAUUUCCUGCGUUUGGACAGAUUCGUCCGAGUGAAUCCUCUUCUAUGAACGAAGUGAAGCCUUUCUGAUAUCAAUGUCCUCGAUUAGUGCCUCAAGCUGAAUCUGGAAACUCUUAGUGAGUGUUCUGGAGGUUGUAUCCAAGGCUUCAUCACCCUGUGCUGCCUGGCCAGUUGGACAGAUGUUGACAAGUUGGUGCUUCCCUUGGCUGGACACGCAAACAGAGCAUGUCCAUCAAAUCAUCACACAUGGACUCCACGAUCAUGUCAGGAAUGUCCAGUUUGACAAUGCUGUGCUGAGAGUCAAAGAAGACCAUGGAGAGUGGCCGGCGCU